This 497-nucleotide ribosomal RNA is filed under the name uncultured bacterium. Its description in RNAcentral is "partial 16S ribosomal RNA". It matches the Rfam family "Bacterial small subunit ribosomal RNA", at positions 28 to 507 of the family's 1533-position model. The record is from RNAcentral.
GGUGAACGCUGGCGGCGUGCCUAAUACAUGCAAGUCGAGCGAACGGACGAGAAGCUUGCUUCUCUGAUGUUAGCGGCGGACGGGUGAGUAACACGUGGAUAACCUACCUAUAAGACUGGGAUAACUUCGGGAAACCGGAGCUAAUACCGGAUAAUAUUUUGAACCGCAUGGUUCAAAAGUGAAAGACGGUCUUGCUGUCACUUAUAGAUGGAUCCGCGCUGCAUUAGCUAGUUGGUAAGGUAACGGCUUACCAAGGCAACGAUGCAUAGCCGACCUGAGAGGGUGAUCGGCCACACUGGAACUGAGACACGGUCCAGACUCCUACGGGAGGCAGCAGUAGGGAAUCUUCCGCAAUGGGCGAAAGCCUGACGGAUCAACGCCGCGUGAGUGAUGAAGGUCUUCGGGUCGUAAAACUCUGUUAUUAGGGAAGAACAUAUGUGUAAGUAACUGUGCACAUCUUGACGGUACCUAAUCAGAAAGCCACGGCUAACUACGUG